CCCUGUAAAAAAUACAAAAAAGAAAUUAACCAGAUUCUCAGCUGGAUUCCAGUCUCAUCGUACUCUCAUUUCACAGGAGUGUCAGAACAGAGAACAUUCCACCUGGGAGUCCAGGGAAGGCAGUUAUUGCUUUUAGAAUAUUGAUGCUACACUCUUCUCACGUAAGUACUCAUAACUGUUAAAUCUGCAUUAUGGAUUAUAAUGUUUAUUAUUGUAAAGUGCCAUUCUCUGUAACAGGUAUUUAUUUACUUAUUUAUAAUCCUGAAUUCAAUAAUUUACCUUAUUAAGGUUAUGAUAUCCAUGUUUUUGUGUUUUCAUUUACCUGGAAUGUUUUUUGUGCAAACUGUUUGAAUUGCUUUAUUUACAUGAGUAUUGCUU
Molecule: long non-coding RNA, 378 nt
Organism: Cercocebus atys (sooty mangabey)
Lineage: Eukaryota; Metazoa; Chordata; Mammalia; Primates; Cercopithecidae
Exons: 3
Source: RefSeq, a predicted model, not a curated record